This 148-nucleotide ribosomal RNA is filed under the name uncultured bacterium. Its description in RNAcentral is "partial 16S rRNA". It matches the Rfam family "Bacterial small subunit ribosomal RNA", at positions 342 to 507 of the family's 1533-position model. The record is from RNAcentral.
CGGGAGGCAGCAGUGGGGAAUCUUGCGCAAUGGGCGAAAGCCUGACCCAGCAACGCCGCGUGCGGGAUGAAGGCCUUCGGGUUGUAAACCGCUUUUANCAGGGACGAAAAUGACGGGACCUGUCNAAUAAGGNGCGGCCNGCUUCUUG